GAUGAACGCUAGCGGCAGGCUUAAUACAUGCAAGUCGAGGGGUAACAGGUCCUUCGGGAGUGCUGACGACCGGCAAACGGUGAGUAACGCGUAUGCAAUCUACCUCUAACAGGGCGACAACUUCGGGAAACUGGAGCUAAUUCCCCAUAAAACUAGCGAAAUCGCAUGGUUUGCAAUUAAAGUUCCAACGGUUAGAGAUGAGCGUGCGUUCGAUUAGAUAGUUGGCGGGGUAACGGCCCACCAAGUCGACGAUCGAUAGCUGAUGUGAGAGCAUGAUCAGCCACACGGGCACUGAGACACGGG
RNAcentral lists this ribosomal RNA (303 nucleotides) under uncultured bacterium. RNAcentral's name for it is "bacterial SSU rRNA". It matches the Rfam family "Bacterial small subunit ribosomal RNA", at positions 28 to 330 of the family's 1533-position model. The record is from RNAcentral.